ACUCUUGCCAGAAUUAAAAAACACAAAAACAUUUAGCGGUCUGGAUUUAACUUGUAGCCUAUACAUCUCUCCAUGUCCAUGAUUCUACCUAGUAGCACUACUUUGACUCAAUCCUGAGCGUUCCUUUUAGUGCUGGUGCAGUGGUGCUACACUGAUAUUCACUACAUAAUGAACUUUUGAGCUAUGAUGCACGGAUACUUCUCAAAAUUCACGUACCGGUGUCGGAUACCGUAUCAGAUACGGAUACUCCGCGGAUACUUCUGGAUACGUAUCCGAGGCGUAUCGGAAAUUCCUGUGAAUUUAAAUAAAUAAAAAAAGACGGAUACCUCUUGGACACCUCUUGGACACCUGUGGGAUACGUUAUAUCCCUAAUUUCCCUGCGCGCUGCUUCUCCCCUACGGCGCACACGCGCAACUUCUCUGCGCGCCGCCAGCCCCGCUUCUCCCCACGGAGCGCCGCCAGCCCUGCUUCUCCCCACGGCGCGCCGCCAGCCCGCUUCUCCCCACGGCGUGCCGCCAGCCCUGCGCGCCGCCAGCCCGCGCUUCCCUGCGCGCCGCCAGCCCGUCACCGCCUGGAGACCCGCGCAGCCGCGCUUCCCUGCGCACCGCCACUCCAGCCGUGCUUCUGUGACCGCGUCCGCCGCCGCCAGCUCUGUGGUCGCGCCGUCAGCCAACCCAUCUGCCGUCGUGAGGAACUGAGAUCCCAAUAUCCCAUGGCAACGAGUGCAUCUACCAAUGCUAGCAGCAGUGAAGGUGCCGAAGGAAAUUUUCCAGUAGCCAAUAACCCUGCCAUCGCAAGACAAGUCUUGACUGCUGUUCGUAUUGUUCCUCCAGAUGAGGAUGAGAAAAAACCGUUGUGGAGGUAUGCUGAGAUACUUGAAAGAACUGGAAAGGGUUUGGGGGGCAAUGUGAGGAUUAGGUGUAGACUUUGUAACCAUGUUUGGAAUGGAAGCUAUUCUAGAGUUAAAGCACAUCUGUUGAAAAUUCCUGGUUUUGGGGUGAAGUUUUGUCGAGUGGUGACAGUACAUGUUCUUGAACAAUUGAAAGCUGAAGUUGCUGCAGCCAGUGUUGUUGCUAACAGAACCUUGCCUAGAGAUAUCCCACUUCCAGUUGAGGGCAAUGAGAAGAGGAAGAGAAGGGGUGUUUCAGCUAUUGAAUCUAGCUUCAAUUUGGAUGUUCGAAGACAGCUUGAUGAACUAAUAGCUAGAAUGUUUUACACUGGUGGUCUGCCUUUUAAUCUUGCACGUAACCCAUAUUUUAGAAAGGCUUUCAUGUUUGCUACCAAUUACUUGGACAGCCAGCAUCAUCUUCCUGUGCCGAAAGAAAUUGGAGUACAUAUGGGCUGAUCCAUAGUUCAUUGAGAAACAGGUUCGAUUCUAUUUCAUUUUAUUUGUCUUAUUCAUUAUGAUCAGUUGGUCACACAUGUAUGAAUUUGGAUUCCUAAUACAAAUCUACAAUUUAAAUUGUAGGCUAAAUCCUGGGCGUGCUGAGGAUUUAGUUUUCACACACCAAAACUUGCGUCUUCUUUCUAGAAAAUCUGAUGAAUACCGCUGUGGUCCAUCAGCAAUGUGGGAUGUUGGAGCUGACACUUUUGAAGCUGAUUUUGAGGGUGGUGCUGAUUUUCUUGAGCAAGCUGAUCUAUCACUGGAUGAGCCAGAACUUGAAGAAAGAUUGUUUGAAGAUCUUGAGGCAUUGGGUUUGACCGAAGAUGCAGAAUGAAAUCUAGUUGUUGUCUCAUGUCUGGUCUGUGGUCUAUGGUCUGUUAGAAUUAAAACUUAGAACUUGUGUAGCGUAGCGUAUCGUUACACAUGUUUUUGGGCUUUUGGCAUGCUGGAUUCAUUGAUUUGAGUCCAGAUAAAUUCUGGAGGAGGAAGUAGAUGUUUACUUUAGUCAAAGUUGUUGAACAUUAACUUCUAACGCCCUUAAAUUGAACUGAUCAGCUGCUGUCCAUUCAGGCA
This is a long non-coding RNA of Zea mays, 1957 nucleotides long. RefSeq lists it as uncharacterized. The record is from RefSeq and is a predicted model, not a curated record. The transcript is spliced from 2 exons. Lineage: Eukaryota; Viridiplantae; Streptophyta; Magnoliopsida; Poales; Poaceae.